CCUACGGGAGGCAGCAGUGGGGAAUAUUGGGCAAUGGGCGCAAGCCUGACCCAGCAACGCCGCGUGAAGGAAGAAGGCUUUCGGGUUGUAAACUUCUUUUCUCAGGGACGAAGCAAGUGACGGUACCUGAGGAAUAAGCCACGGCUAACUACGUGCCAGCAGCCGCGGUAAUACGUAGGUGGCAAGCGUUAUCCGGAUUUACUGGGUGUAAAGGGCGUGUAGGCGGGAAAGCAAGUCAGAUGUGAAAACCAUGGGCUCAACCUGUGGCCUGCAUUUGAAACUGUUUUUCUUGAGUACUGGAGAGGCAGACGGAAUUCCUGGUGUAGCGGUGAAAUGCGUAGAGAUUAGGAGGAACACCAGUGGCGAAGGCGGUCUGCUGGACAGCAACUGACGCUGAGGCGCGAAAGCGUGGGGAGCAAACAGGAUUAGAUACCCUUGUAGUC
This 443-nucleotide ribosomal RNA is filed under the name uncultured bacterium. RNAcentral's name for it is "partial 16S ribosomal RNA". It matches the Rfam family "Bacterial small subunit ribosomal RNA", at positions 338 to 795 of the family's 1533-position model. The record is from RNAcentral.